GAUGAACGCUGGCGGCGUGCCUAAUACAUGCAAGUCGAGCGAACGGACGAGAAGCUUGCUUCUCUGAUGUUAGCGGCGGACGGGUGAGUAACACGUGGAUAACCUACCUAUAAGACUGGGAUAACUUCGGGAAACCGGAGCUAAUACCGGAUAAUAUUUUGAACCGCAUGGUGCAAAAGUGAAAGACGGUCUUGCUGUCACUUAUAGAUGGAUCCGCGCUGCAUUAGCUAGUUGGUAAGGUAACGGCUUACCAAGGCAACGAUGCAUAGCCGACCUGAGGGGGUGAUCGGCCACACUGGAACUGAGACACGGUCCAGACUCCUACGGGAGGCCGCAGUAGGGACUCUUCCGCAAUGGGCGAAAGCCUGACGGAGCAACGCCGCGUGAGUGAUGAAGGUCUUCGGAUCGUAAAACUCUGUUAUUAGGGAAGAACAUAUGUGUAAGUAACUAUGCACAUCUUGACGGUACCUAAUCAGAAAGCCACGGCUAACUACGUG
Molecule: ribosomal RNA, 497 nt
Filed under: uncultured bacterium
Lineage: Bacteria
Description: partial 16S ribosomal RNA
Rfam family: Bacterial small subunit ribosomal RNA
Source: RNAcentral